CGGGCGGAACGGUGUCUCCUUCACUUCGCCCUCCAGCCGCUGCAGCUGCAGCCCGACCGCGAGCGUGCCGAGCGGCUUCAGCAGCUAGCGGAGCGGUGGCGGCGGCCCCCCUCAGGAGACCACCAGAUUCCCCUCUUCCCGCGGCCUCGCCAUGGCGACCCACGGACAGACUUGCGCGCGUCCAAUGUGUAUUCCUCCAUCAUAUGCUGACCUUGGCAAAGCUGCCAGAGAUAUUUUCAACAAAGGAUUUGGUUUUGGGUUGGUGAAACUGGAUGUGAAAACAAAGUCUUGCAGUGGCGUGAUAUCACAAUUUCUGGCUGUAGUCUCUUUAUUAUUUUCACAUCAGCUGUCUUCCUUAGGCUUGGCGUGGUGAUGCUUGUGAUCCCAGCUACUCAGGAGGCUGAGGAAUUUUCAACGUCUGGUUCAUCUAAUACAGACACUGGUAAAGUUACUGGGACCUUGGAGACCAAAUACAAGUGGUGUGAGUAUGGUCUGACUUUCACAGAAAAGUGGAACACUGAUAACACUUUGGGAACAGAAAUCGCAAUUGAAGACCAGGUAACAUUUUGAAAAUUUUAGUAUUAAUUUUAUUAAUUUAUUUUUGUAUUUCAAAAAAAGAGAGAAAACAAAUUACUUUUCUUUCAAAAUAGAUUUGUCAAGGUUUGAAACUGACAUUUGAUACUACCUUCUCACCAAACACAGGAAAGAAAAGUGGUAAAAUCAAGUCUUCUUACAAGAGGGAGUGUAUAAACCUUGGUUGUGAUGUUGACUUUGAUUUUGCUGGACCUGCAAUCCAUGGUUCAGCUGUCUUUGGUUAUGAGGG
Molecule: small RNA, 823 nt
Filed under: Pongo abelii (Sumatran orangutan)
Lineage: Eukaryota; Metazoa; Chordata; Mammalia; Primates; Hominidae
Description: retained intron
Source: RNAcentral